Molecule: long non-coding RNA, 1433 nt
Filed under: Capra hircus (goat)
Lineage: Eukaryota; Metazoa; Chordata; Mammalia; Artiodactyla; Bovidae
Description: lncRNA (ENSCHIG00000000799.1)
Source: RNAcentral
ACAAAGCACAGCAGCGGGGCACAGGGAACCUGCAAGCCCCCUGGUUCCACAGCCCACUGACCUCCCACACCCACAGAACCCUGGACUCUGGAGGGGACUAGGAGGCCAUUAGUGCAGUCCUCUCUUCACAGCUGAGGAAACGGAAUCCCAGAAGCACAACGUAAUCAGCCUAAGGCCACACCACUGUCCGUGACCGAGCAGGGCUGGAACCCAGGAGUCCUGGUUCCCAGCUCAGUGUCCUUCGCACCCACUGUGCUGCCUUGUCCAUGCCGCACUUGGUUAAGUCACUGCUUUUUUCCUCAAAAAAUAACAAUCUUCCUGUACUGUCCCGUUGACUCAUAUGCUCCGGAGGAGAUGAUACUCUAAGAAACAAAAAAAGGACCUGAGAGAAGAAACAUGACCCCUGGGGGCCUCCAGCCAGUCAAGCCGUGGGAGCCUCGGGCACCCUUCACAGCCCUUUAUCCUGCCACUCGACAGCCCACGCGGAGGGGAAGUGCGCCUGGGGAGGUCUCCCUCUUACAGACGGAAAACUAAGGUCUCCUGCGUGUCUCCAAGCACUCAUGCCAAGCGGCAAGACUGGGAGGCCCGACCGCUCCUCAGAACCAUCACCUCCUCAGGGAACUCUUGGGACUGGAAACUCAGGGGCAGGAGGCCAGGCCACACGGAGGAGGCUGCUGUCUACAGAAACCGUGGAGGCCACAGAAGCAAGCGAAAGUGAACUGGGGCAUGCCCGGGGCCAGGCCGGGGGCUGCUCACCAGAGAUCUGCAGGGGAAGGCAGAGGAGGAAGGGGGCGGGAGAGAGACAGGAGAGAGAAGCAAGCUGGGGCUCACCCCGGGGUCCCCCGAGGCUGCAGAGCCCCGCGGGGCGCCUCCCGGCGCUGAGGGUGGGGCCGCGUCGCUGCCGGCGGUCUCUGACAGCUCCUCGCAUCCUGGUCUCUGUGGGGCUGAGUCCGGCCUCGGACUGGAGCUGGGCGAGCCCAGGGAGAGGGGGCCCUGGCUGCAGCUGCCUUGUCCCUGCCCUGCCCUCGGCUUCCCUGUCCCCGCACACCUGCGGCUGGGGGCAGGCAGCAUGCCAGCUCAAAGUGAGCUCUGCGCGGUGCCACCAUGGGCAUCAGGCGUCCACUGGGUCCUCAGGACCACACCGUCCCGCGAACCAAGGGCGGACUUCGGGGGCCUUGAGGGCAGCCCCUCAGCCAGCACCACCCGACACCUGGCAGAGUCUCGGAUUCCUCGCGCCCCCUCAUAGCCCUGAUUUGUCUGAGGCCCCUUGGGAAACCUACAGGGAACAAGAGGCACUUCCCCUGACCAGCCCAAGUCCACACCCUCCUCAGCAGAGAGCAGACAGAGUUAUUUCAGCGCCCUGGGCUAUUUUAUUGAGCACUAGGCAGGGCAGAGGGGUGGGGGGUAAGAACAUGGCUUCUUCCCUGGUGUAA